UACGUAGGGUGCAAGCGUUGUCCGGAAUUAUUGGGCGUAAAGAGCUCGUAGGCGGUUUGUCGCGUCUGCUGUGAAAACCUAAGGCUCAACCUUGGGCUUGCAGUGGGUACGGGCGAGACUAGAGUGCGGUAGGGGUGACUGGAAUUCCUGGUGUAGCGGUGGAAUGCGCAGAUAUCAGGAGGAACACCGAUGGCGAAGGCAGGUCACUGGGCAGUAACUGACGCUGGAGGAGCGAAAGCGUGGGGAGCGAACAGG
Molecule: ribosomal RNA, 255 nt
Filed under: uncultured bacterium
Lineage: Bacteria
Description: partial 16S ribosomal RNA
Rfam family: Bacterial small subunit ribosomal RNA
Source: RNAcentral